RNAcentral lists this ribosomal RNA (164 nucleotides) under uncultured bacterium. RNAcentral's name for it is "partial 16S ribosomal RNA". It matches the Rfam family "Bacterial small subunit ribosomal RNA", at positions 355 to 511 of the family's 1533-position model. The record is from RNAcentral.
UAGGGAAUCUUCCACAAUGGGCGCAAGCCUGAUGGAGCAACACCGCGUGAGUGAAGAAGGGUUUCGGCUCGUAAAGCUCUGUUGUUAAAGAAGAACACGUAUGAGAGUAACUGUUCAUACGUUGACGGUAUUUAACCAGAAAGCCACGGCUAAAUACGUGCCAA